RNAcentral lists this ribosomal RNA (460 nucleotides) under uncultured bacterium. RNAcentral's name for it is "partial 16S ribosomal RNA". It matches the Rfam family "Bacterial small subunit ribosomal RNA", at positions 338 to 795 of the family's 1533-position model. The record is from RNAcentral.
CCUACGGGAGGCAGCAGUGAGGAAUAUUGGUCAAUGGCCGGAAGCCUGAACCAGCCAAGCCGCGUGCAGGAUGACGGUCCUACGGAUUGUAAACUGCUUUUAUACGGGGAUAACAUCCCGCUCGAGUGCCGCUCUGCGUGUAACUUAUGAAAAAGCACCGGCUAAUUCCGUGCCAGCAGCCGCGGUAAUACGGAAGGUUCGGGCGUUAUCCGGAUUUAUUGGGGUUAAAGGGAGCGUAGGCCGGCUGUUAAGUCUGCGGUGAAAUGCCCGGGCUCAACCCCGGCCUUGCCGGGCGAACUGGCGUGCUUGAGACGUCGGGAGGGAUGCGGAAUGCGUAGUGUAGCGGUGAAAUGCUUAGAUAGGGCGAAGAACGCCGAUUGCGAAGGCAGCAUGCCGGCGGGGAACUGACGCUGAUGCUCGAAAGCGUGGGUAUCGAACAGGAUUAGAUACCCGGGUAGUC